UGGGGGAUAUUGCACAAUGGGCGAAAGCCUGAUGCAGCGACGCCGCGUGGGGGAUGAAGGCCUUCGGGUUGUAAAGCUCUGUGAUCCGGGACGAAAGAGCCUGAGGUAAAUAGCCUAAGGAAGUGACGGUACCGGAAAAGCAAGCCACGGCUAACUACGUGCCAGCAGCCGCGGUAAUACGUAGGUGGCAAGCGUUGUCCGGAAUUAUUGGGCGUAAAGCGCGCGCAGGCGGCUUCCUAAGUCCAUCUUAAAAGUGCGGGGCUUAACCCCGUGAUGGGAUGGAAACUGGGAAGCUGGAGUAUCGGAGAGGAAAGUGGAAUUCCUAGUGUAGCGGUGAAAUGCGUAGAGAUUAGGAAGAACACCGGUGGCGAAGGCGACUUUCUGGACGAAAACUGACGCUGAGGCGCGAAAGCGUGGGGAGCAAACAGG
Molecule: ribosomal RNA, 429 nt
Filed under: Fusobacteriota bacterium
Lineage: Bacteria; Fusobacteriati; Fusobacteriota
Description: Fusobacteria bacterium partial 16S ribosomal RNA
Rfam family: Bacterial small subunit ribosomal RNA
Source: RNAcentral